Macrobrachium nipponense is the source of this 251-nucleotide long non-coding RNA. RefSeq lists it as uncharacterized. The transcript is spliced from 3 exons. NCBI's taxonomy places the organism in Eukaryota, Metazoa, Arthropoda, Malacostraca, Decapoda, Palaemonidae. The record is from RefSeq and is a predicted model, not a curated record.
UUUUCAGAAUAUUUUGGUUAUUCUUUCAAAAUUCACAACCACUUUAGAUAAAAAUGGCAGCCUAUGGCAAUCCAUUUGUUGUGGCCCCUCCACCUGAAGAUGAUGGUUGUCUGUCCCAGCUUCCUUCUCAGAUACCCUCUCAGAUAUAUCCAACUUCGCCUUCUACUUCAAGAUGGACAACUGGUAUGUGGGACUUUGAGAGCCAUGAGAGCCACGACCAUCCAAAUGUUAGUGAAUUACGUACAGUCCCC